Heterocephalus glaber (naked mole-rat) is the source of this 4815-nucleotide non-coding RNA. The record is from RefSeq and is a predicted model, not a curated record. NCBI's taxonomy places the organism in Eukaryota, Metazoa, Chordata, Mammalia, Rodentia, Bathyergidae.
CCCAGACUCAAAAUAUGUCACAUCAUCAUCAUUGGAGAGAAUUUUUAACAUCCUGGCUCUGUGUUCUCUCAGAGACAAUUCUUGUUGUCAAAUAAAAUGAUGCUUCUCAAAUGCUGAUGUGCAUGCCAUCACUAGAUACCUUAUGAAACCCAUACCUUAUGAGCCUCAGUGUUCCAAGAUUCAAAUAGCCAAGACCUCAUCAAAGUGGGUGACUCCCAGGCCCAUGGAGGGUGCGCAGGCUGUGCAGCACACAUCGCUUGGGUACACCAAGUCUUAGAACUGCUUCAGAAUCACCUAGAGAUACUUGUGGAGAAACUUCAUCAAAUGUAGAUUCCUGGACCCACUAAAAACCUACUGAGUUAGAAUCACUGAGAGUGAAGAUUUGUUAUGAAAGCGAAUUCAGCCUCCUUUGGCCCUCUCUGCUCUUUCCAUGCGGUGCCUUUCUCUAUGUUAUGAUGCCUCACGAGAAGUGGUCCCUCAAUAUUGAACUCCCAGCCUCCAGAAUUGAGAAACCUGGAGGGAUUAUGGAAGAGCUGCUCCUUGAGUUCUACUGCAUCUAUGGACAAAAGGAUGGGCUGUGGCACCUGAAAGAAAGCAUCCCUCUCUGACAUAUGCAAGAGUAAAGCUGUCUGAGGGCUUUAGCUGCUGCAUUCCUGAAACCCAUCUUUGGAAUGCUGCCAAGCCUAUGGUUUCCAGUAGGAGUAUCAAGGCAGACCCAUGUCUGGGAGACAAAGGAUGCCUGUGAAAAACAAUUUUGGUUUGGGGACUCCUUAAAGUGUUGUUUGAUUAUAUUUUUUAAGAAUUCCACUGCAGUCUAAUAUUCUUUUACUCAUUUUCUUUUGUUUUGUUGCUCAUUCACUUGUGGUUGGGCCUGUACUAUUGUCUCACAGUGCUCUAGACACUGCUGGUUUUCUCCACAUUUUUUCUCAUAGACACUUUUAAAAUUAAUAUAUUUCUUGCAUUUCUAGCCCCUUUCUGGCAUUUCUUUCUCUGAGGGGCUGGAUUAACCAUUUAUUCUCUAGAUUCCAAAUGUUGUUUUUCUGUUAGCAGUAACUCAUGAAAGUUAGCUAUUAUUUGCUUUUUCCCCUCCUCUUCUCCUUUCCCUCUCACAUUCUCUAAUUUUUUCACUAUUUUAUUGGAUAUGUUCAUAGCAUAAAAGAAUGAUCAGAAAAUAUUUUCUGGAAAAGAUGAGAUAGUAAAUAUUUUACACUUAUGGGCCAACAGUUUCUGUCCCAACUUUUAAUUCUGCCAUGGUAGUGCAUAAGCAACCAUAGCCAAUAUCUAAAUAAAUGGGUCUGGCUGUAUUCUAAUAAAACACUACUUACAUAAAUAAGCAGUAGACCAGAUUUGGCCCUUUGACAACUUUAGGUCUAAAUUAUACUUUCAUUUCUAUUUGACUUUUUUUUUUAUCAUUAAGUCUAACCCUUUUAACUUUCAGCUAUUAUUUGUUGAAGAAAUCAAUUUUUUUCUAAUUUUCAAUGAAUACUUCCAUCUUUUUCUUUUUUUCUUCUUUGUUUAAAUACUAUUUCUAGGGCCAGGGAUAUAGCUCAGCCGUGCAGUGCCUGCCUGGUAAGAACAAGGCCCUGAGUUUGAUUCCCAGUACCAUAAAUAAAUAAAUACUAUUUCUACAUUUUUAGAGUAUAUAUCCUAUUCAUAGUAUUUUCUGGAUUUUUUUCUAUGUAUUUUGAGCUUAUUUCUACAAAUCUGUUAAAUUCUUAUCCCUAGAUCUUAUGCCACAGCUGUUCUAAUCAUUUUAAGUUGCCUAUAGUUUAUUAUACAUUCUUCAGGAAAUAAUAGUACUGUAGCACAAAAUUUUUUUAUAUAAUGUUUUUUUUUUUUUGGUACCAGGGAUUGAACUUGGGUCCUUGAGGUUGCAAAGCAGGCGACAGAACCACUGACCUAAAUCCUGGACCCUAGAAUGAUAUUUUUUUAAAUGACUUUAUAUUUCACUUUUGUAGUUGGAUGGUUUAGUAGAAUGUAAGAUCCUUUGACCAUUUUUUAUUUCCCUGGUUAUCUUUAAAAUGCUGUUCAUUUUUUUUCUAAAAAUGCAAUGUUGCUAUGUUGCUGUCAAAAAUCUGGUAUCUGUCUGAUUUUCUUUUCUUUAUGAUUGACUUAGAUUUUUUCUUUUUGCCAUACUGGGGAUUGAACCCAGGACUGCAUGCAUGCUAGGAAAGCCUUACUGGUGAGCUAGACCCCCAGAUCUUUUAUUUAUUUAUUUUUUAAAAUUCUGAGACAGGGUUUUGUGAAGUUUCUCAAGCUGGUCUUGAACUUGUGAUAGUCCUGCCUCAACAUCUUAGGUAGUUGAGAUUCAAUGUACACCGCUACAUCUGCCUUGAUUUAGUUUUAGGCCAACUUCCCCAACUUUAUUUUUACCCUUAAAUUCUCAUGAUUUAUUUUAAAUUAUUAUCUAGGAGGUGUAUGAUAUACUUCCAAAGAUAGAUUUAAAUACUUAAUGUUUUUUAAACUUUCAGGAUUGUCUUUUUGGAUUACAGUUUUAAAUAUUUGCUCUAUGUUUUGCUUUAGUUUGCUUUUUUUUUUUGGUACCAGGGAUCAAACUCAGGAACUUGCGCUUGCAAGGCAGGCGCCAGAACCACUGAGCUAAAUCCCCAGCCCCUAAUUUGCCUUUUGAAGACUCCAAAAAUGUCAUAUAUUUGAUCCUAUUGGCCAGCCUUUUCCCUCUUAUUUUACUAAAUCUCUUAUUCUCUUUUUAAAUUUCUGUCUAAAUUUUUUGAAUUUUCUUUUCUUUCCAUUUGGCUUCUGUACACAUUGUGACACAUAUUCAGUCUUGAAUUCUGUUUAUUUCAAAUUUUAUUUAAUUUGUUCCUAACUUAUUUUUGAGUCCUGUUGGUUUUAUAUGCUCUUGUUGUCUAGUCAUACAUUUUCUGGUUCUUUCCUUUGGGAUUUGGACUAUUUUCAAAGCUGUAGUUGUUUUCUUUAUCUUCUGAAUUUCCUUUAGGUCACUUUUGCUUAUUUGGUAGACAAAUUUUCCUACUGCAUUCUCUGUUCAUUGACAUAUCAUUAGGUUAAUUUUCAUUAUUUUCUCGUCAAUGAAAAUGCUAAAAGUUGGAGAUAAUAAUGAUUUUUUUCAUUUCCAUAUUUUAAUGUUGUGAGUUUUCUUAGGCUGUAGGAUGAUUUUCCUGUGGUGAACCCCUUAGAUUGAGAGUUUCCUUUCUGUUAGUAGAAAUACUUAAAAUACAGCCUCUUUGUAGCUGUUUUUCUGUGAUUGAAAUUUAGGUCUAGAUCAGAAUACAUUUCAGUCUUCAACUGCCUGCUUCACCAUGAGCUACAGACAAGCUUCAGACUUCCGCUUUAUGCCACUUCCUGAGACUCCUGUCCUCUGAAUGGUCUCAGAAAACCAUCAAAAACGCCUCUCUUUUUACACAGAGUGCUCUUGCUCUGCUCAUUUCAGUACAUAUUCAGUUGUGUUUCUUGAGAGUAAGGCUCUGUGUAAUAAAAUGAGAAUUUUCUAUUUUUCCCAAAGAUUUACAUUGACAUAGCUCUGUUUGAUUGUCUCCUAUUCACAAACAACAUUUGCUCCCAUGGGACAUUUUCCAUACAGAUAUGUAUGUUGUUUUCAAAUCCUUUCCUCCAGCUUCCAUUUUAAUAGGAUCAUUCCAUUUUCAUUGUAAUUAUUUUGGAAAAUAAUUUUGGUUUCCAUGGCUUGUAAAACUAGUGCGUAUUAACCUUGGAGUCCUCAACACUCAUAAUGCAUUGUCAUUAAUCUUUGAAGGUCACUCAGCUCUUGGUAGUUUGGCCACACGUAUGCCUGGGAUCAAGCUCAUUGAGUGCUCUGUGCAUAGUUUCACUGAGAAUGUUGCGAAUGUGUUUAUGUGUGUGUGUGUGUGUGUGUGUGUGUGUGUGUGUGUGUUCUUUACCACCCUAACUUAUUUAGGUGGCUCUUUGGAGUGUUUAAAAAAUUACAGUGCACCCAUUAUCACAUUGCCAAUUAUUGAUUUGCUUGAUAUCAAGGGGUUUAACCUCUGUUUAUGUGGUGAAAUUUAUCAUUAUUUCCAUCACUGGUUUGCUUAGAAAUGUGAAAAUAAAGAUAUAUUGAUAUUUCACUUUUAGCUCAUAAAUUAGCAUUUUUGAGAUGUGAUAUUGAUUAUUUGCUUUCUUUCUCCCACUGUUCAGAGGGCAAUGUGAGGGCAGUGAUCAUGGCUCAUUAAUCUUUGUGUUUUUACCAUCUGGCACCUACAAAAAACUGCCUGUUGUAAAAACAUGAAUAAAAACUUAAAUUAAUGAAUUGUUAUUGUGAUUUAGUACAGAUUUUAUUCUUCCUACAUCCACAUAAAGCUUCAGUCAACCUUUUCACCUCUUCAAAUUUCUAUUCCCCUUCUCUGCUUUCAUUUUCUCACUGUAGAGAGUCACUAAUAAUGCUUGAGCCAUGUUAUUUAUUUUUGCUCCCCACAUACAAUGAAAGAAUUUCAUUUAUUUUCUUUGCCGUUAUAUUAAUAGAUUUAAUUAGUAAAGCAGCUUAUUAGUGAAAAGAUUUUAUAUCACUUGACAAAUCCUAAAUUCUUUUAUCUUAAAAAUGAAGAUGUCCAGUUUUUCUCAUAUAGUAUUUGCCUUACUGCUAAUAUUUGUCAACUGUGAGAGUUACUUUUCUUUAUACUUGGUACUUGUGUUUUUUUUAAGUUCUUCAUGUAGGUGACUACGUCAUAAGCAUGGUAAAAGGAUAAACUACAUCUUAUUUGGUUUUAGCAUGUAAUACCCACUCAUUGCAUAUUAUUUUCUUCUGUCGCAUACAAAUGUACUUACAAGUUCUUUGAGGCUACGUUUCAAUUACUUCCCUAUGUAUGGCAAAUAGCAUGGUGC